RNAcentral lists this ribosomal RNA (439 nucleotides) under uncultured bacterium. RNAcentral describes it as "partial 16S ribosomal RNA". It matches the Rfam family "Bacterial small subunit ribosomal RNA", at positions 338 to 795 of the family's 1533-position model. The record is from RNAcentral.
CCUACGGGAGGCAGCAGUGGGGAAUAUUGCACAAUGGGCGAAAGCCUGAUGCAGCAACGCCGCGUGAGCGAUGAAGGCCUUCGGGUCGUAAAGCUCUGUCCUCAAGGAAGACAAUGACGGGACUUGAGGAGGAAGCCCCGGCAAACUACGUGCCAGCAGCCGCGGAAAUACGUAGGGGGCUAGCUUAAUCCGGAAUUACUGGGCGAAAAGGGUGCGUAGGUGGUUUCUUAAGUCAAUGGUGAAAGGCUACGGUUCAACCGUAGUAAGCCUUUGAAACUGGGGAACUUGAGUGCAGGAGAGGAGAGUGGAAUUCCUAGUGUAGCGGUGAAAUGCGUAGAUAUUAGGAGGAACACCAGUUGCGAAGGCGGCUCUCUGGACUGUAACUGACACUGAGGCACGAAAGCGUGGGGAGCAAACAGGAUUAGAUACCCUUGUAGUC